GAUGGAGGGGGAUAACUACUGGAAACGGUAGCUAAUACCGCAUAACGUCGCAAGACCAAAGAGGGGGACCUUCGGGCCUCUUGCCAUCGGAUGUGCCCAGAUGGGAUUAGCUAGUAGGUGGGGUAACGGCUCACCUAGGCGACGAUCCCUAGCUGGUCUGAGAGGAUGACCAGCCACACUGGAACUGAGACACGGUCCAGACUCCUACGGGAGGCAGCAGUGGGGAAUAUUGCACAAUGGGCGCAAGCCUGAUGCAGCCAUGCCGCGUGUAUGAAGAAGGCCUUCGGGUUGUAAAGUACUUUCAGCGGGGAGGAAGGCGAUAAGGUUAAUAACCUUGUCGAUUGACGUUACCCGCAGAAGAAGCACCGGCUAACUACGUGCCAGCAGCCGCGGUGAUACGGAGGGUGCAAGCGUUAAUCGGAAUUACUGGGCGUAAAGCGCACGCAGGCGGUCUGUCAAGUCGGAUGUGAAAUCCCCGGGCUCAACCUGGGAACUGCAUUCGAAACUGGCAGGCUAGAGUCUUGUAGAGGGGGGUAGAAUUCCAGGUGUAGCGGUGAAAUGCGUAGAGAUCUGGAGGAAUACCGGUGGCGAGGCGGCCCCCUGGACAAAGACUGACGCUCAGGUGCGAAAGCGUGGGGAGCAAACAGGAUUAGAUACCCUGGUAGUCCACGCCGUAAACGAUGUCGACUUGGAGGUUGUGCCCUUGAGGCGUGGCUUCCGGAGCUAACGCGUUAAGUCGACCGCCUGGGGAGUACGGCCGCAAGGUUAAAACUCAAACGAAUUGACGGGGGCCCGCACAAGCGGUGGAGCAUGUGGUUUAAUUCGAUGCAACGCGAAGAACCUUACCUACUCUUGACAUCCAGAGAACUUAGCAGAGAUGCU
Molecule: ribosomal RNA, 882 nt
Filed under: uncultured bacterium
Lineage: Bacteria
Description: bacterial SSU rRNA
Rfam family: Bacterial small subunit ribosomal RNA
Source: RNAcentral